UCCCAGACUCCUACGGGAGGCAGCAGUGAGGAAUAUUGGUCAAUGGGCGGGAGCCUGAACCAGCCAAGUCGCGUGAGGGAAGACGGUCCUAUGGAUUGUAAACCUCUUUAGGCGGGGAGCAAUGCCGGGCACGCGUGCCCGGAGGGAGAGUACCCGCAGAAUAAGCAUCGGCUAACUCCGUGCCAGCAGCCGCGGUAAUACGGAGGAUGCGAGCGUUAUCCGGAUUUAUUGGGUUUAAAGGGUGCGUAGGCGGAUUGAUAAGUUAGAGGUGAAAUGUCCGGGCUCAACUCGGGAACUGCCUCUAAUACUGUUGAUCUGGAGAGUAGAUGCGGUAGGCGGAAUGUAUGGUGUAGCGGUGAAAUGCUUAGAGAUCAGACAGAACACCGAUUGCGAAGGCAGCUUACCAAUCUAUAUCUGACGUUGAGGCACGAAAGCGUGGGGAGCAAACAGGAUUAGAUACCCCGGUA
RNAcentral lists this ribosomal RNA (467 nucleotides) under uncultured bacterium. RNAcentral describes it as "bacterial SSU rRNA". It matches the Rfam family "Bacterial small subunit ribosomal RNA", at positions 329 to 792 of the family's 1533-position model. The record is from RNAcentral.